GCCGGGAGUGUGGCACAUGCCUGUAGUCCCAGCUACUCGGGAGGCUGAGGUGGGAGGAUUGCUUGAGUCCAGGAGUUCUGGGCUGCAAUGCGCUAUGCUGAUCGGGUGUCCGCACUAAGUUUGGCAUCAGUAUGGUGACCUCCCGGGAGCGGGGGACCACCAGGUUGCCUAAGGAGGGGUGAACUGGCCCAGGUCGGAAAUGGAGCAGGUCACAACUCCCAUGCUGAUCAGAGGGAAAAAAUGAUCAGUAAAAGGCGUGUACCUUUCGGCAGUGUUUCCUUCUGGUUUGGGAAGUUAGCACACCUGUC
Fukomys damarensis (Damara mole-rat) is the source of this 308-nucleotide non-coding RNA. Lineage: Eukaryota; Metazoa; Chordata; Mammalia; Rodentia; Bathyergidae. The record is from Rfam.